Molecule: non-coding RNA, 87 nt
Organism: Gossypium hirsutum (cotton)
Lineage: Eukaryota; Viridiplantae; Streptophyta; Magnoliopsida; Malvales; Malvaceae
Source: Rfam
CCUGAGGACGCGCUUUGCCUACGUGGCAACAAAGCGCGCUUACGUAGACGCGCUUUGUUGCCACGUAGGCAAAGUGCGCUGACGUGG